UACGGAGGGAGCUAGCGUUGUUCGGAAUUACUGGGCGUAAAGCGCGCGUAGGCGGCUUUGUAAGUUAGAGGUGAAGGCCCGGGGCUCAACCCCGGAAUUGCCUUUAAGACUGCAUCGCUAGAAUCCAGGAGAGGUGAGUGGAAUUCCGAGUGUAGAGGUGAAAUUCGUAGAUAUUCGGAAGAACACCAGUGGCGAAGGCGGCUCACUGGACUGGUAUUGACGCUGAGGCGCGAAAGCGUGGGGAGCGAACAGG
Molecule: ribosomal RNA, 253 nt
Filed under: uncultured bacterium
Lineage: Bacteria
Description: partial 16S ribosomal RNA
Rfam family: Bacterial small subunit ribosomal RNA
Source: RNAcentral